UGGGGAAUAUUAGACAAUGGGGGAAACCCUGAUCUAGCAAUGCCGCGUGAAUGAAGAAGGCCUUAGGGUUGUAAAGUUCUUUCGCCUUUGAAGAUGAUGACUGUAGAAGGAUAAGAAGCACCGGCUAACUCCGUGCCAGCAGCCGCGGUAAUACGGAGGGUGCAAGCGUUGUUCGGAAUUACUGGGCGUAAAGGGCGCGUAGGCGGUCUUUUAAGUUAGGCGUGAAAGCCCCAGGCUCAACCUGGGAACUGCGCUUAAUACUGAAGGACUUGAGUGCGAGAGGGGAAAGUGGAAUUCCUAGUGUAGAGGUGAAAUUCGUAGAUAUUAGGAAGAACACCGGUGGCGAAGGCGACUUUCUGGCUCGCAACUGACGCUGAGGCGCGAAAGCGUGGGGAGCAAACAGG
This 404-nucleotide ribosomal RNA is filed under the name uncultured bacterium. Its description in RNAcentral is "bacterial SSU rRNA". It matches the Rfam family "Bacterial small subunit ribosomal RNA", at positions 355 to 776 of the family's 1533-position model. The record is from RNAcentral.